Molecule: ribosomal RNA, 422 nt
Filed under: uncultured bacterium
Lineage: Bacteria
Description: bacterial SSU rRNA
Rfam family: Bacterial small subunit ribosomal RNA
Source: RNAcentral
UUGUUCUCUUGAGAGCGGGGCGGACGGGUGAGUAAUGCCUAGGAAUCUGCCUAGUGGUGGGGGAUAACGUUCGGAAACGGACGCUAAUACCGCAUACGUCCUACGGGAGAAAGCGGGGGAUCUUCGGACCUCGCGCCAUUAGAUGAGCCUAGGUCGGAUUAGCUAGUUGGUGAGGUAAUGGCUCACCAAGGCGACGAUCCGUAACUGGUCUGAGAGGAUGAUCAGUCACACUGGAACUGAGACACGGUCCAGACUCCUACGGGAGGCAGCAGUGGGGAAUAUUGGACAAUGGGCGAAAGCCUGAUCCAGCCAUGCCGCGUGUGUGAAGAAGGUCUUCGGAUUGUAAAGCACUUUAAGUUGGGAGGAAGGGCAGUUACCCUAAUACGUUAUUGUUUUGACGUUACCGACAGAAUAAGCACCCG